Molecule: ribosomal RNA, 560 nt
Filed under: uncultured bacterium
Lineage: Bacteria
Description: partial 16S ribosomal RNA
Rfam family: Bacterial small subunit ribosomal RNA
Source: RNAcentral
UGAGGAAUAUUGGACAAUGGGUGAGAGCCUGAUCCAGCCAUCCCGCGUGAAGGACGACGGCCCUAUGGGUUGUAAACUUCUUUUGUACAGGGAUAAACCUACCCUCGUGAGGGUAGCUGAAGGUACUGUACGAAUAAGCACCGGCUAACUCCGUGCCAGCAGCCGCGGUAAUACGGAGGGUGCAAGCGUUAUCCGGAUUUAUUGGGUUUAAAGGGUCCGUAGGCGGAUCUGUAAGUCAGUGGUGAAAUCUCACAGCUUAACUGUGAAACUGCCAUUGAUACUGCAGGUCUUGAGUAAAUUUGAAGUGGCUGGAAUAAGUAGUGUAGCGGUGAAAUGCAUAGAUAUUACUUAGAACACCAAUUGCGAAGGCAGGUCACUAAGAUUUAACUGACGCUGAUGGACGAAAGCGUGGGGGGCGAACAGGAUUAGAUACCCUGGUAGUCCACGCCGUAAACGAUGCUAACUCGUUUUUGGGUUUUUCGGAUUCAGAGACUAAGCGAAAGUGAUAAGUUAGCCACCUGGGGAGUACGUUCGCAAGAAUGAAACUUAAAUGAAUUGAC